RNAcentral lists this transfer RNA (74 nucleotides) under Nematobrycon palmeri (emperor tetra). Its description in RNAcentral is "tRNA-Lys". It matches the Rfam family "tRNA". Rfam says of the family: Transfer RNA (tRNA) molecules are approximately 80 nucleotides in length. Their secondary structure includes four short double-helical elements and three loops (D, anti-codon, and T loops). Further hydrogen bonds mediate the characteristic L-shaped molecular structure. tRNAs have two regions of fundamental functional importance: the anti-codon, which is responsible for specific mRNA codon recognition, and the 3' end, to which the tRNAs corresponding amino acid is attached (by aminoacyl-tRNA synthetases). tRNAs cope with the degeneracy of the genetic code in two manners: having more than one tRNA (with a specific anti-codon) for a particular amino acid; and 'wobble' base-pairing, i.e. permitting non-standard base-pairing at the 3rd anti-codon position. The record is from RNAcentral. Lineage: Eukaryota; Metazoa; Chordata; Actinopteri; Characiformes; Acestrorhamphidae. RNAcentral also lists the same sequence under 1 other name.
CACCAGGAAGCUGAAAAGGGUUCAGCGUUAGCCUUUUAAGUUAAAAAUUGGUGGCUCCCGACCGCCCCUUGUGA